Molecule: ribosomal RNA, 444 nt
Filed under: uncultured bacterium
Lineage: Bacteria
Description: partial 16S rRNA
Source: RNAcentral
GCACGGAGUUAGCCGGUGCUUAUUCGCCGGGUACCGUCAUCAUCGUCCCCGGCAAAAGGGCUUUACAACCCGAAGGCCUUCAUCACCCACGCGGCGUCGCUGGAUCAGGGUUGCCCCCAUUGUCCAAGAUUCCCCACUGCUGCCUCCCGUAGGAGUCUGGGCCGUGUCUCAGUCCCAGUGUGGCCGAUCAUCCUCUCAGACCGGCUACCGAUCACAGCCUUGGUGGGCCAUUACCCCACCAACCAGCUAAUCGGACGCGGGCCCAUCCCAGGGCGUGAACUUUCGCCCGCCUCGCGGCAGGCCGUAUCCGGUGUUAGCGGCGGUUUCCCGCCGUUAUCCCGAACCCCGGGGCAGGUUCCCACGCGUUACUCACCCGUGCGCCACUCACGGGCCGAAGCCCGCGCGUGCGACUUGCAUGUGUUAAGCGCGCCGCCAGCGUUCGUU